Poecile atricapillus (Black-capped chickadee) is the source of this 386-nucleotide long non-coding RNA. RefSeq lists it as uncharacterized. The record is from RefSeq and is a predicted model, not a curated record. The transcript has 3 exons. Lineage: Eukaryota; Metazoa; Chordata; Aves; Passeriformes; Paridae.
GAAGAGCUUAUGAGAACAACACUGGAAGGGGUGCUUUAGGAGUGCAAGGAAAUGCAGCUACAAACCCACUGAGCUAUCAGUGCUGUCUGCAUGCUUCUAUGGGAGGAAUGCUGAUAUGUGGGAACUGACAAAGAAGCAUGAGAGAGCCGAUGUUCACCUCUUAAACCUGAUGAAAUUUGCUGGUGAAUCACAGGCUGCAAAAUACAACUGAGCAAGUUAAAUUCCACUUCCCUUGAACACGGAAGCCAGCAGUGCAUUUGUCACAUGGUCACAUCAGCAGACCACAACAACAAGAGCAAUCACCUGGUGAAACAAUCCACACAAAGAUUUGGAAGGAAAAUUUCUUUCAGGCAGGUGACACUGGACAUCUGGCAGUCCUCUGCCUC